UAGACUUCCUUCUUCUACGAGGAUUGGAGUAUAAGCUACGGCAAAAGCAACCACCAUUCAGUACGCAGAUGGAGUCUUUGCCUUUCAGGUGUGCAUCUACAUCACAAGUUUUGCUUGCUUGUGUAACCAAACCAUGUUAUGAAAGAACGAAAGUAGAUAGAGAAAUGGAUGCAAAGGAUGCACAUACCGUUCUACUGGAACGCAUCAUUAACAAUAUGGUUAUGGAACACUUCUACAUCUGAUGCAUCUUGAUUUGUUAAGAAGUCAUAUGGUGAAGAUGGAGUCUUUGCCUUUCAGGUGUGCAUCUACAUCACAAGUUAGUCAACUAUAUAUACUCAUAAUUCAUGACUGGCAAUUUCAACGGUCCUUUGAAUGGUGAGAAGACAUAAAUUAAUUGAAAAUGGUCUUUAUGUGCAUGUUUUGCUUGCUUAUGUAACCAAACCAUGUUUAUCAUCUUUUAGUUUUAGUUUUCUUUUCAGGCAAAGAAUGAACCGAUUCUAAGCAGCUUCUUAUAUGCUAGCAUACUGUCACAUGAUUGUUUAGAGCGAGCAUUAGGAUUUAUUAUUGCUAACCGCCUCCAAAAUAAUACUUUGUUAGAAACCCAAUUGAUGGAUAUAUUUUGUGAUGUAUUGGUUCAAAACCGACACAUCAAAUGAGCAUUACGCAUGGAUCUACAGGUGAUACCAUCAGCAUGUAUUCAAUGUCCUCUGUCUUUUUAUAUGACUUACCGAUAUUUUUUGUUUGGUUUUGUCGUUACUUUACAAAGGAACUUAUUUUAUUUUUCAAUUAACAUCUUUCCACAGGCAUUUAAAGAAAGAGAUCCUUCAUGCUUGUAUUAUUGCUCCGCUCUUUUAUACCUAAAGGGUUACCAUUCUUUACAAACGCAUUGAGUAGCACGUCUUCUGUAUACGCCGAGGGUUUCACGGAAUUCGGACUCUGUUGACUUUGAGAGUUGACUUUCACUGCGAUUUAACUGAAUUCAUAUACAAUUCACUUAGCGGAAUCGAGUAAACCCGUGGCUGUUGGCUUUGGCAAUUCAAAACCUGAGCAUGUGAAACAGGCAAG
This is a long non-coding RNA of Helianthus annuus (common sunflower), 1065 nucleotides long. RefSeq lists it as uncharacterized. The transcript is spliced from 8 exons. The record is from RefSeq and is a predicted model, not a curated record. NCBI's taxonomy places the organism in Eukaryota, Viridiplantae, Streptophyta, Magnoliopsida, Asterales, Asteraceae.